Non-coding RNA from Aegilops tauschii subsp. strangulata, 4240 nucleotides. NCBI's taxonomy places the organism in Eukaryota, Viridiplantae, Streptophyta, Magnoliopsida, Poales, Poaceae. The record is from RefSeq and is a predicted model, not a curated record.
ACAAAAAUGGAUUUUGCUAGGGUGAGAGUCACUGGCGGAGCUAUGUUGAGGCCGAGGGGGCCGCUGCCCCCCCAGCCUUGGACCACACUCUGAAGGGAAAAAAAUUAGGUAGGGCUUAGAUGAGAUUUUUUUUAGCAAUUUACAACCCCAAACACUCAUGUUUUUGCAUUGGUCCCCAGCAAUACAACCCAUUAACGGUCGCGUAAAGAGCGUCCUCUGGGUUAUGCCACAUCGAUUCUACUGUCCCGAAGGAAAAAGUUAAAUGUGAUGGCCCAUCGAUCCCUGCACUUUUCAUCGCUCACACGCAAGCCUCCCCUCGUCUCCUCUCUCAUGAGCUCUCUCUCCCCCCACGACCCCUCGCUGCCGCCACCACCCAUGCCAGCCGAUUCCGGCGAGUCCCGGCGGUGGGUGACACACCAACGACUUCCCCUCGCGCCGCUCCUUUCUCCAUCCAUCCAAAUCGGUCGCUACAAGCCUUCCACGCUCGCUCCUGACCCUCAGCCGUGGCUAGGGUUUCGGGUGCGGCGUCCCCUUCGUUGCCGGCAAGGCUCAGGCAGCAUCCGGCGGCUCGUCUCAGCUUGGGGCAACUAGCGCUGGCGAGCAACCCUCCCCCGUUGCUAGGGUUUUGGCCUCCGCGUGCGGCUGCUCGAGCUCUGUCACUUCCUCCCAAGCGGGGCUCGUCUGGUUGAGCGGUGGCGGAGCAGGCCUGAGCGCGCGGCCACCAGAUCGGCACAGGCAUAGCAACAACGAGGAACAGUGGCGUUGGCGGAUGCCCUCACUCCCUUCUUAUGUCUUCUCUCUCUAUCCCUCGGCACAUCCUCUUUGAAUCGGGAACGUCUCUGCCGUCUUACUACUACACCUUAAUAUGUUUCGCAUGAUUUGCUUCAUGAAUUACUUUGAUGUGCCUACUUUGUGGAGAGACCUUUUUUUUCUUCCUAGAUGUUCAUCUUAGCUUACUACUGCCUGAUGCCUGAACUUUGAAUUCUAAUCGGCAACAAGUAGUUGUAUACAUGCAACAAGAAAAGAAAUCUCACUUGUAUAUUUUCGGUUUCAACACAUGCACCAUGGCAAUCUUUGGUAGAGUAGGAAAAAUGCUCAUAACUAUGUAUUAAUCAUAGUUUCUGACGAUUGUUUCUGACGAUUCGUUGGUCAUUUAUUUUGCAGAGAUCUGCUUGCAGUUCAUACUUCAUUGGUACCAUAGUUUAAUGUACUAUCUAUCAUGUAUGUAUAUGAUGACUCCUUUUAUCCUUGAAGGCAUUGGAGUUCUUAAAGGGAAAUGUUAAUGAUGGUGUAUGAAAUGGUAUGUCGAAAGGUGUGCUUGUUUGGGCAUUAUUAUCCCUAACUGAAGUUCUGUUGUGUUGUUAUAUUCAAGAGUACAAUUCUUUGCUUCCAGUUUCUUGAAGGUAGCCAUAUUCUGUUACUUAUUCCCUGAUGAUUUUAAAGGUUAUGUGUACUAUCAAACUGAAUGUGACAACACUGGCUUAUUCGUAGUUCUCUUUUCUUUGCCUAGAAUUUAUGAUUUAUGGCUGAUGUCAAUUCCAUCUUUUUAGGUGCUUGUCAAAUAUAGGUGGAAAGCUUGACAUGGAGGAGCCACAGAGGUUUGCAGAAUAUGUUUCUAGGUUGGCCCUUGAGAGGGAGACUGAAGCAAACUCCAACAUGUUUCAGGUGCACGUCCUUUGUCCCUUGUGGCCGUCUCCCUAGCAAACCUGGAGCAUUGUACACUUUGGUAUAUGUGGCAUCUUUGAAGACUUUCUUGUCACCGUCCCUCCCCGGUGAUCUUGAGGGACAAAUCAGGGUCAGCUAUAAAAUCGAGAAGAAGACAGGGAGGAGUGAUGGGUCUGCACAUACCUAUAAGAAGAUGGCCUGAGGUGAUUUGCUUCUGUUUUCAUGAUAUACAUGUGUAGGCUCUGUUGCUACAAAAUUUUGUUGAUGCCGUGUUAUAAAUUUCCGUUCUUGUAAUUUAUCUCAUCUAAUGAUCUCGAAUCUAGGUGAGAGUUUGGUACUGCAAUUUGGUUACUACGACCAGUAGCAUUUUCUUAUAUGGAAUUAACAUGUCGUAGUUUGUCAAUAUCAUCUGAAUUGGACCAUCUGACAUUUACAUCAAGGAGAACAACAAAAUGCUUAGAGGUAUAGAUUUCUGUUCGUUUAGAUUUCAGCACAUAGUAUUUUAGUUUUUUGCACAUCUCUUUCAUGUUGUGACGUUGUUUCAUUAGUGUUGAUUAUAAGUUUGCUGAUUUUGCGCCCGGCACAUUUGGAGGAUCAUGAGACUGGCACCAUGGUUUUAGUUGGAACAUAUAAAAGAUUGUCAGAAAACCUAAAGAUAAUCAUAUCAUAACCUGCAUUUUCUAAGUAAGAAAAUAAGGAUGCACUGAUUCUCCAUAAGCUCAUCAAACGACUUGUGCAAGACGAUACAAAUGGGUGGAAAUAGUAACUCAGAAAGUCGAACCAAAUAAUUAAAACCAGUGAGGUACUUUGUUCAUUUUUGUAUGGAAACUUUUAAAAGAUAUCAUAACCAGCAUACAAUGGGUGGAAAUAGUAGGUCAGAAAGCCAAACCAAAUAAUUAAAACCGGUGAGGUACUCUGUUCAUGUUUUUUUAUGAAAACCUUUAAAAGAUGCCAUUACCAGCAUGUGGAUUUGCAUUUCUUUUUAACUGUCCAGCUCUUAACAAUUGUUGCUUUGUAGUGGCCAUAGAUGAAAACUACUUUUAGUCAGAUUUCCUAUUGCACACUGAAUUAGUUCCAUGUAUGCGUUUACACCUCUUUUCAACUAUGUGAUACUGUAGAAAUCAAGAACCGUAACAAUUCACCAUUUAGAUACUUCAUAUCUCACUUGCAAAUAUGUUCCCUUCUUUGUACCCUAUAUAUUAGAUAUUUUUUAAUAAUUUUAGGGUCAUCCUAAUUAUUUCAAAUUUUAGGCCAUUCUAAACUAUUUGGAAUAGUUUGCCAGCAUUGCUGGAGACAAAUCCAAUAUGCAUCAGUUACUGUAAUAUUUCUGGAACCAUGUUAUCACCACAUAUUUUAACUGAAAUGAAUGUGAUUAAAUUCAUAUCCUUGUUAAGAUAAGGAUAGGUACAAGUGGUAUGAUUAUGGGAGUACUUAAUAAAUUAACAAAAAUAAUGUAUUAGACAAUUCCUUUGAACCUUCAAAAGGAUGAAUUCGAUUACCGCAUUCAAAAGAUAGCUAAAUGAUUCAGUUUAGUAACUCUACAUGUAGCAUGUUCUGCAAUAACAGGGAGAUAUUUGAUUGUGAUCAAUCCUGCAGCUAAUUGUCACAGGAUUCAUUGUCUGCUUGGAUUCCUUUCUGUCUUUGCUCAUCAUUAUGCCUGCAAGAAUUGUGAUGACUGUUUGGCGAGCUGAAAACUAGGUGGGUUCACGAUGAUGCCGUAAACUUGAUGAUUUACACAUAGAUUAUGUGCAUUGCUAUGGAGUAUUAUUUUGUUAUGUACAGAUUAGUCAGGGUGUGUACUGCUAUGGGAGAGGAGCUCCCAACUCACGCCCUAGAGUGUGUGGAGGAAGCAGGGGGCGGUGGCCUUGGAGAGAGGGUUGGGCGUUUGCGACAGCGGAGGAGGAGCCACGCUUGCUGGCUGCAACAACUGCUCAGAGUGGAGGUGGAGCGAAUCAGCGGGUUCACGCAAGGCCUGGCCGAGGGCAGCGAGUUUAGGGGCAGCCGUGCCUUGCAUACUUCCAGGGUAACUUGUGCUAGCUUUUAGAUUAUUCAUCUUCGUUUUACCCUGUGAAUGAUCUACUCGGAUUAGUUACGAAAGGACACAGCUCAGCUGCUCUAAUCUUGUUUUUUAAUAGUUGUCGUAGAUCUCUUAAGAUUCAUUUUCUUCGGUGUCAACUUUUUGCGUUGUAAGAAACCAUUGCAUAAACACGUGUCAUGCAUGGCCCAAACAGGAAAGUGAAAGGGGCGCUAUCCCAUCUGACACCGCCGAGCUUCCGCUCAGGCGGCACGCCACGGGCGCGCCCCAACCACUAGUUUGUACCAAGCUCCGCCACUGGUGAGAGUGAGUCAUAGAUCUAUUGGCAAGAUGGCUUUAGAUGCUCGUCACUGUCUGUCCUUCGCGUGUACGCCAGCGUAAUCUACUUUGGUCUUCAACUUUCCCGUGCACUAAACAGGUAGGUUUUGGCCUUAUCACGGCGAUUCACAUGGCGUUAGGAUUAGUCUUUGCACUGUUUCUCCUCGAUGAAGAGCAGACUUGCAAGCAUAGCAAAGACAAUCCUGACUUGUUCCGCAAAAA